UGCUGUUGUGGUCUUGUGGCAUAGAUUACAUCUCUAGUUAUCUCCACAGGAAGUGGGAUGGUAGAGCCGAUGCUCCUUAUGGCCGUAGGCGAUGUCCGUGUUGUAAGGAGUAACCCUGCUAUUACCAACAUUGCAACUAGCCAAGAUUUUUUCAUUUUUGUCUCCUGGUUGGGUGACUAUUCGUAAAGAAUCGACUCUUAUUUUACCAGGGGAAGUAGGGGUGUCAAAAAGCGG
Molecule: ribosomal RNA, 234 nt
Filed under: uncultured eukaryote
Lineage: Eukaryota
Description: partial small subunit ribosomal RNA
Source: RNAcentral